This 497-nucleotide ribosomal RNA is filed under the name uncultured bacterium. RNAcentral describes it as "partial 16S ribosomal RNA". It matches the Rfam family "Bacterial small subunit ribosomal RNA", at positions 28 to 507 of the family's 1533-position model. The record is from RNAcentral.
GAUGAACGCUGGCGGCGUGCCUAAUACAUGCAAGUCGAGCGAACAGACGAGGAGCUUACUCCUCUGACGUUAGCGGCGGACGGGUGAGUAACACGUGGAUAACCUACCUAUAAGACUGGGAUAACUUCGGGAAACCGGAGCUAAUACCGGAUAACAUGUUGAACCGCAUGGUUCAACAGUGAAAGACGGUCUUGCUGUCACUUAUAGAUGGAUCCGCGUCGCAUUAGCUAGUUGGUAAGGUAACGGCUUACCAAGGCAACGAUGCGUAGCCGACCUGAGAGGGUGAUCGGCCACACUGGAACUGAGACACGGUCCAGACUCCUACGGGAGGCAGCAGUAGGGAAUCUUCCGCAAUGAGCGAAAGCCUGACGGAGCAACGCCGCGUGAGUGAAGAAGGUCUUCGGAUCGUAAAACUCUGUUAUUAGGGAAGAACAAAUGUGUAAGUAACUAUGCACGUCUUGACGGUACCUAAUCAGAAAGCCACGGCUAACUACGUG